GGGGAUGAAAGAGAAAACGCGCUUACUGCUUGGGGAGAACCAAUAAUGCUCCAUACUUAGGGCUUACUACUUUCGAACCAUUGUUGAUAUUCCUUUUAAAUGAAAUUGAUUGUUUAAAAUUCAUGCUUUUAUAUGUUUAAGAAAAAUGAUUUUGAUUUAAAAAAUUUAAUUUCAAAAAUGAUCAUAAUAAAAUUUAAAUCUAUUUGGCUGAAAUAAAUAAGAGUAUAAGCAAUUGGA
RNAcentral lists this long non-coding RNA (237 nucleotides) under Lathyrus oleraceus (garden pea). RNAcentral's name for it is "Pisum sativum (pea) long non-coding RNA (PSAT_LNC030999)". The record is from RNAcentral. Lineage: Eukaryota; Viridiplantae; Streptophyta; Magnoliopsida; Fabales; Fabaceae.